RNAcentral lists this ribosomal RNA (764 nucleotides) under Cerothallia yorkensis. RNAcentral describes it as "LSU rRNA". It matches the Rfam family "Eukaryotic large subunit ribosomal RNA", at positions 165 to 944 of the family's 3401-position model. Lineage: Eukaryota; Fungi; Ascomycota; Lecanoromycetes; Teloschistales; Teloschistaceae. The record is from RNAcentral.
CGGGCGAGGCGCCGGUCUAAGUCCCUUGGAACGGGGCGUCAGAGAGGGUGAGAAUCCCGUACGCGACCGGUGACCGAGUCCAUGUGAAACCCCUUCGACGAGUCGAGUUGUUUGGGAAUGCAGCUCAAAAUGGGUGGUAAAUUCCAUCUAAAGCUAAAUACCGGCCAGAGACCGAUAGCGCACAAGUAGAGUGAUCGAAAGAUGAAAAGCACUUUGGAAAGAGAGUCAAAAAGUACGUGAAAUUGUUGAAAGGGAAGCGCUUGCAACCAGACCUGCCCGCGGGGGAUCAACCGUCCUUUUGGGCGGCGUACUCGCCCGCGAUCAGGCCAGCAUCGGUCCGGGCGGUCGGAUAAAGGCCUUGGGAACGUAGCUCCCUUCGGGGAGUGUUAUAGCCCUUGGUGCAAUGCGGCCAGCCCGGACCGAGGACCGCGCUUCGGCUAGGAUGCUGGCGUAAUGGUUGUCAGCGGCCCGUCUUGAAACACGGACCAAGGAGUCUAACAUCUAUGCGAGUGUUUGGGUGUCAAACCCAUGCGCGUAAUGAAAGUGAACGGAGGUGGAAACCCUUUCGCGGGGCGCACCAUCGACCGAUCCAGAUGUCUUCGGAUGGAUUUGAGUACGAGCAUAGCUGUUGGGACCCGAAAGAUGGUGAACUAUGCCUAAAUAGGGUGAAGCCAGAGGAAACUCUGGUGGAGGCUCGCAGCGGUUCUGACGUGCAAAUCGAUCGUCAAAUUCGGGCAUAGGGGCGAAAGACUAAUCGAACCAUC